CCUACGGGAGGCUGCAGUGGGGGAUAUUGCACAAUGGGGGGAACCCUGAUGCAGCGACGCCGCGUGGGUGAAGGAGUAUUUCGGUAUGUAAAGCCCUAUCGGAAGGGAAGAAAUUGGACGGUACCUGACUAAGAAGCCCCGGCUAACUACGUUCCAGCAGCCGCGGUAAUACGUAGGGGCCAAGCGUUAUCCGGAUUCACUGGGUGGAAAGGGGGCGUAGACGGCCAUGCAAGCCAGGGGUGAAAGCCCGGGGGCUAACCCCGGGACUGCCCUUGAAACUGCAUGGCUGGAGUGCGGGAGAGGCAGGCGGAAUUCCUGGUGAAGCGGUGAAAUGCGUAGAUAUCAGGAGGAACACCGGCGGCGAAGGCGGCCUGCUGGACCGCGACUGACGUUGAGGCUCGAAAGCGUGGGGAGCGAACAGGAUUAGAUACCCCGGUAGUC
This 441-nucleotide ribosomal RNA is filed under the name uncultured bacterium. RNAcentral's name for it is "partial 16S ribosomal RNA". It matches the Rfam family "Bacterial small subunit ribosomal RNA", at positions 338 to 795 of the family's 1533-position model. The record is from RNAcentral.